RNAcentral lists this non-coding RNA (21 nucleotides) under Caenorhabditis elegans. The record is from RNAcentral. Lineage: Eukaryota; Metazoa; Nematoda; Chromadorea; Rhabditida; Rhabditidae.
UAAAAGUGGCUCCGAGCUAGG